UACGUAGGGGGCAAGCGUUGUCCGGAUUUAUUGGGCGUAAAGAGCGUGUAGGCGGCCCGGUAAGUCCGCUGUGAAAGUCAAAGGCUCAACCUUUGAAUGUCAGCGGAUACUGCCGGGCUAGAGUCCGGAAGAGGCGAGUGGAACUCCUGGUGUAGCGGUGGAAUGCGCAGAUAUCAGGAAGAACACCAACGGCGAAGGCAGCUCGCUGGGACGGUACUGACGCUGAGACGCGAAAGCGUGGGGAGCGAACAGG
Molecule: ribosomal RNA, 253 nt
Filed under: uncultured bacterium
Lineage: Bacteria
Description: partial 16S ribosomal RNA
Rfam family: Bacterial small subunit ribosomal RNA
Source: RNAcentral